This 381-nucleotide unclassified non-coding RNA is filed under the name Hevea brasiliensis (rubber tree). Lineage: Eukaryota; Viridiplantae; Streptophyta; Magnoliopsida; Malpighiales; Euphorbiaceae. The record is from RNAcentral.
UUAUGGUGAAUCCUAAUACAAUCUCGUUCUGCCCAACAGAACUAGGUACAAAAGUAAGGCCACAAUUGUAGUUCCCAUAUGAACAUAGAUAAAGAGCUCUACUACUGCCCCACGCUGAGAAAACCCAUUAUGAUAAGAUGGCCAUGAUUGAAUAGACCUUGCUGAAAUUGUGCUAAAGGAAUUCCUGAACAUAAUUCAAUUAUCCAAUGAAAGAAAAAAAAUGAAAUUCAACUUGAACAAAGCUAUGGUAAAAUAUGUUGACAUUUCAUUGAUUUGACAAUAUUCAAUUGGCCUGUCACCAAAAUCGGCUACAAGAGAAUAAAUAUACAAGGGUAAAAGAUAGGCCCCGACCAAAAUUCAAAAUAAUAAUAAUAAUAAUAA